Molecule: ribosomal RNA, 482 nt
Filed under: uncultured bacterium
Lineage: Bacteria
Description: partial 16S ribosomal RNA
Rfam family: Bacterial small subunit ribosomal RNA
Source: RNAcentral
AUUUCCCUCUUUCUUCAUGCCUUACACAUGCAAGUCGAACGGUAACGGGCCUUCGGGUGCCGACGAGUGGCGAACGGGUGAGUAAUACAUCGGAACGUGCCCGAUCGUGGGGGAUAACGAGGCGAAAGCUUUGCUAAUACCGCAUACGAUCUACGGAUGAAAGCAGGGGACCGCAAGGCCUUGCGCGGACGGAGCGGCCGAUGGCAGAUUAGGUAGUUGGUGGGAUAAAAGCUUACCAAGCCGACGAUCUGUAGCUGGUCUGAGAGGAUGAUCAGCCACACUGGGACUGAGACACGGCCCAGACUCCUACGGGAGGCAGCAGUGGGGAAUUUUGGACAAUGGGCGCAAGCCUGAUCCAGCCAUGCCGCGUGCAGGAUGAAGGCCUUCGGGUUGUAAACUGCUUUUGUACGGAACGAAAAGCCUUCUUUUAAUACAGGAGGGUCAUGACGGUACCGUAAGAAUAAGCACCGGCUAACUACGUG